Long non-coding RNA from Microtus oregoni (creeping vole), 820 nucleotides. RefSeq lists it as uncharacterized. The transcript has 3 exons. The record is from RefSeq and is a predicted model, not a curated record. Lineage: Eukaryota; Metazoa; Chordata; Mammalia; Rodentia; Cricetidae.
UAACUACUCAUUUUAAAAAUCAAUUUAUAUGUGUGUAAUAUAACACAUUAACUAUCUCCUUUUUAUCUGAUACAGGGUUUCUCUGCAGCUUUGGAGUCUAUCCUGGAACCAGCUCUUGUAGACCAGGCUGGCCUUGAACUCACAGAGAUCCACCUGCCUCUGCCUCUUGAGUGCUGGGAUUAAAGGCGUGCGCCACCACUAUCUUCUAAAUCUUAAUUGAAUAUUUGCGACUCAUGAAACCAUCGUUCCUAUGCUUACUCUUGCUCCUCUUUUGACAUCUUUGUUGGAACAGUAUUUUUCCUCUGUAUUUUUUAAAUUUAUUUUUAAUUUUUUGUUUGUGCAUAUUUUGCUUACAGGUAUGUCUUUGAGUACCUGCCUGGUGUCUUCCGAGGUCAGAAAACGGUGUGAGAUCUCUUGGACCUGAGGUUAUAGAUAUUUAAAACAACUGGACAAGCUCUCUGCUUCAUGCCCAUGGAUACGAUGAGAUCAGCUGCCUCAAGCCCUUGCCUGCCACUGUGAGUUCCCUAAUGAUGGGAUGUAACUUGGAACUGUAAAUAAAAACAAACUAUUUCUCCUGAUUUUUUUUUCUAGUGAAUCAUCACACUUCAACAUGGAACUAAACUCCAAACCAUCAUAGAAGCCCGAAGGGACCUGACCAACUGAGCCUUCAGGAAAACAUGCUUAGCGGAUCUCAAUCUAUCUUCCCCAGCAGAGACACAAAUCCAUGAGGCUGGAGGGGAGAUGGCUCAUGAUGAGAUCUCAUGCAGGAUGAAGUGCUCCCAAGUCUCAUCUCUGUAUAUUGUCCCAUUGUGAGUCUCUG